UGGGGAAUAUUGGACAAUGGGGGGAACCCUGAUCCAGCCAUGCCGCGUGUGUGAAGAAGGCCUUAUGGUUGUAAAGCACUUUAAGCGAGGAGGAGGGUACUGGUAUUAAUACUACCAGGUACUGGACGUUACUCGCAGAAUAAGCACCGGCUAACUCUGUGCCAGCAGCCGCGGUAAUACAGAGGGUGCGAGCGUUAAUCGGAUUUACUGGGCGUAAAGCGUGCGUAGGCGGCUAAUUGAGUCGGAUGUGAAAUCCCUGAGCUUAACUUAGGAAUUGCAUUCGAUACUGAUCAGCUAGAGUAUGGGAGAGGAUGGUAGAAUUCCAGGUGUAGCGGUGAAAUGCGUAGAGAUCUGGAGGAAUACCGAUGGCGAAGGCAGCCAUCUGGCCUAAUACUGACGCUGAGGUACGAAAGCAUGGGGAGCAAACAGG
This 430-nucleotide ribosomal RNA is filed under the name Pseudomonadota bacterium. RNAcentral's name for it is "Proteobacteria bacterium partial 16S ribosomal RNA". It matches the Rfam family "Bacterial small subunit ribosomal RNA", at positions 355 to 776 of the family's 1533-position model. Lineage: Bacteria; Pseudomonadati; Pseudomonadota. The record is from RNAcentral.